Triticum aestivum (bread wheat) is the source of this 117-nucleotide non-coding RNA. Lineage: Eukaryota; Viridiplantae; Streptophyta; Magnoliopsida; Poales; Poaceae. The record is from Rfam.
GUUAUACUCCCUCCGUUCCAAAAUAGAUGACUCAACUUUGUACUAAAGUUAGUACAAACUUUGUACUAAAGUUAGUACAAAGUUGGGUCAUCUAUUUUGGAACGGAGGGAGUAGCUU